Long non-coding RNA from Sinocyclocheilus rhinocerous, 474 nucleotides. RefSeq lists it as uncharacterized. NCBI's taxonomy places the organism in Eukaryota, Metazoa, Chordata, Actinopteri, Cypriniformes, Cyprinidae. The record is from RefSeq and is a predicted model, not a curated record. The transcript is spliced from 4 exons.
GUAUGAAACCAAUGUGAUGUCAAGUCUUGGCCGUCGCCUUCAUUAUCGCUAAUGUGACCACGCCCACGCGCCGAUCGCGCUUUUGUUAUUACAAUAGUCCACGUGAAACACGCGCAUGUAAACGCCCACAUCACAGCAAACACAGCAGCCAGACUUUCCCUCAAGUUCAUCUCGGCUACUUCGCUUCUGGAAGAAGACGCGCUGAGAGAAAUAAGCUUUGGAUUUUCCUCAGAAGAACGCGCCGGCGUGAUAUUCAGUGGAGGAUAUAGACUGUGGCUGCAUCACUCGCAUAAUUGCACAAGAAAGGCACACGUGUCGUUCAGUUUUGAGUUCGCUGGAAAAUCAUACUGAGACCGAAUACACCACUCUUGCCUUCACCUGCAUCUCUCACAGUAAGGGGACGCUCGUUCAGUUUUCAACUCCAUUCAGAAUCUUAGAAUGUGAGAAUAACAGUGUAAAAGAACCUGUUGCAAA